RNAcentral lists this long non-coding RNA (959 nucleotides) under Capsicum annuum. RNAcentral's name for it is "long non-coding RNA (CANN_LNC003964)". The record is from RNAcentral. Lineage: Eukaryota; Viridiplantae; Streptophyta; Magnoliopsida; Solanales; Solanaceae.
GGGAGAGGUGCACUGGUCAGAGGUAUACAGGGAGUUAUAGUAAGUCCAGAUGGCAUUUUUAACAUCUCUGUGAUUGUAAAUCCAAUUUCCUGAAUCAGUUUGGAGGGAGUUGUUCCUAUUUCUUCUCCUUCUAUUGAUGGUAGAAGCAUGAAAGAACUUUGUGUUAGCAUCACCCUCUGACAGCCAUUCUAUCCUAAACUUAAGUCUCCAAAACUCAUGUUCAUGUCGUAGGAGAUCACUAAGACUUUUAGUAAGAGAGAGUUUCAGAGAAUGGAGAAAAAAACUAAUUGGAUAGUUGGGAGAGCAUUGGAUACCAGCUAAACGGGCAAGAAUUAUUUUCUUCUUCAGAAAGAUAUUGCCAAAGGUUUUCCUGUUCCAAAUUUUUAUCCUAGUUUAGAAGUGGGAGAAAGCAGAGGUGAUACCAGGGUGGACAUUGAUGGAGUUCUUAACCAUGUCAGGAAAGGUAGGAUGGAAACACCACAUGGAUUCUAACCUGAAAGGUCUAUUAACCGGGGAGUAAGUUUUCAAAGGCUACAGGAGAAUGGCGCAGUGGUCGGAGUGAGUUCUAGCGAGAUGGGUAACUGUAGAAUCAGGGAAAGAAUUGAUCCAAGAUUUAUUAGCUAGACAUCUGUCCAGUCUCUCAAGGAUAAGGGCCCACAUAUUUCUGUAUUUUUUAUUAGUCCAGGUAUACUUACUACCUUUAAAGCCUAAGUCAGUAAGGUUAUUGUUGUUGAUGCAAUCUCUAAACAGAUUGACCCUAGAGUUACUUAUAGUAUUACCACCAAAUUUCUCUGCACCAUUAAGAACUUCAUUGAAACCCUCCCCCCCACUACUCAAGAGUUAGUAUUAUGGAGGUCAAUGUUAGAGGACAAGUCAGUUAACUGGUUCCAGAGAAGCUUUCUAACCUCGAAGUCGGUGCUAGCAUAAACAAGGCUAAAAAACCACUGAGAAGGGGGGUU